UGGGGAAUCUUGCGCAAUGGACGAAAGUCUGACGCAGCGACGCCGCGUGGGCGAUGAAGGCCUUCGGGUCGUAAAGCCCUGUCAGCAGGGAGUAAGAUCGGUGACCUAACACGUCAUCGGUUUGAACGUACCUGCAGAGGAAGCACCGGCUAACUCUGUGCCAGCAGCCGCGGUAAUACAGAGGGUGCGAGCGUUGUUCGAAAUCAUUGGGCGUAAAGCGCGUGUAGGCGGUGAAGCAAGUCUGAUGUGA
RNAcentral lists this ribosomal RNA (250 nucleotides) under uncultured bacterium. Its description in RNAcentral is "partial 16S ribosomal RNA". It matches the Rfam family "Bacterial small subunit ribosomal RNA", at positions 355 to 597 of the family's 1533-position model. The record is from RNAcentral.